Molecule: long non-coding RNA, 208 nt
Filed under: Rattus norvegicus (Norway rat)
Lineage: Eukaryota; Metazoa; Chordata; Mammalia; Rodentia; Muridae
Description: long non-coding RNA NONRATT032089
Source: RNAcentral
UCAAGGGAUGAGAACCAGGGAGACACAGACUUCUCAGAGUCUCGGAAGCACUGCUGACCAUCACCUUAUCAGAGCGGCAAGGCUGAGUUCCCGAAUGCUUGACUCUCUUUGUCCCCAUCCCAUCCCCAUGCCCUAUAAAGCUUGCUGUCCAGAGAGGAGAUCAAAGUAUGUGACCAAGACUGAGAAGCGCUGCAGGAGGAGAAGUUAA